AUGAACCUUUGAGGGUUGAGCUGGCGUUUAUUCGCAUGUGCUUGCCCUCUCAUCCUUUAUAUACCUGUGCACUUUUGAAGGGAGACAUUAGUAGACAUUCACUUGUCGAAGGUAUCUCCCUUACACUACAUACUCUAAUGAUUACUUUGAAUGUUUAAACGCUUAACAGCAUUUAAUUA
This 179-nucleotide unclassified non-coding RNA is filed under the name soil metagenome. RNAcentral's name for it is "partial internal transcribed spacer 1". The record is from RNAcentral.